GACGUAGGGUGCAAGCGUUGUCCGGAUUUACUGGGCGUAAAGGGCGCGUAGGCGGCCAUCUAAGUCAGACGUGAAAUCCCCCGGCUUAACCUGGGAACUGCGUCUGAUACUGGAAGGCUUGAGUAUGGGAGAGGGAUGUAGAAUUCCAGGUGUAGCGGUGAAAUGCGUAGAUAUCUGGAGGAAUACCGGUGGCGAAGGCGGCAUCCUGGACCAUUACUGACGCUGAGGCGCGAAAGCUAGGGGAGCAAACGGG
RNAcentral lists this ribosomal RNA (253 nucleotides) under uncultured bacterium. Its description in RNAcentral is "partial 16S ribosomal RNA". It matches the Rfam family "Bacterial small subunit ribosomal RNA", at positions 524 to 776 of the family's 1533-position model. The record is from RNAcentral.